UUUUCUUCUGUAGAAUCAACUGAACCCAAACCUGCUUUUUAUAAGUGUGUAGCCCUUUAGUGUUUCAGUCAUAUAUCUAUGAAGCGAGACUGAAAUAGAUAGAUAUAGAAGGAGAUUCUUUCAGUCCAGUCAUGGAUAGAACAAGAAGAGGGUAGAAACAUCUGCCGACUCAUCCAUCCAAACACUUCUGGUAAAAAGAAAAUAGAUUUUAUACCACAGUGGCUGUGUGAAUGAUGCGGGAGAUGUUUUCAUCUCUCUUUAUCUGUGUUUGGACUGAAGGGAGCUCCUUCUUUAUCUACAUGUUU
Molecule: unclassified non-coding RNA, 305 nt
Filed under: Brassica oleracea (wild cabbage)
Lineage: Eukaryota; Viridiplantae; Streptophyta; Magnoliopsida; Brassicales; Brassicaceae
Description: precursor microRNA miR319c
Rfam family: MIR159 microRNA precursor family (bases 100-300)
Source: RNAcentral